This 410-nucleotide ribosomal RNA is filed under the name Aphis fukii. Its description in RNAcentral is "partial 12S small subunit ribosomal RNA". The record is from RNAcentral. Lineage: Eukaryota; Metazoa; Arthropoda; Insecta; Hemiptera; Aphididae.
UUACUAGUUAAGUUCUUUAAAUUUAAAAAAUUUGGCGGUAUUUUAGUCUUAUUAGAGGAACCUGUUUAUUAAUUGAUAAUCCACAAUUAAUUUUACUUAUUUUAAUUAAUUCAUAUAUCGCUGUCUUGAAUAUAUUUAAAAAUUUAUUUUCUUUUUUUAUUUUUUAAAUUUAUGUUAAGUCAAGAUGUGGUUUAUAAAUAAAAAUAUAAUGGGUUACAAUAAAUUUUAUUUUGGGAUUUUAAAUGAAAAUUAGAAUGAAAUUGGAUUUAAGAAUAAGUUAAUUUAUUUAAUUAAUAUGAAAAGAGAUCUAAAAAACGUACAUAUUGCCCGUCAUUCUUAUCAAAAAGAAAACAAGUCGAAACAAAGUAAGUGUACUGGAAAGUGUAUUUAGAAAGAUUUAUUUCUUAAAA